RNAcentral lists this long non-coding RNA (329 nucleotides) under Cyanistes caeruleus (blue tit). RNAcentral describes it as "lncRNA (ENSCCEG00000020652.1)". The record is from RNAcentral. Lineage: Eukaryota; Metazoa; Chordata; Aves; Passeriformes; Paridae.
UAUACUCUUGUUCUCAGAUAAAAUCACCCUAACUGAGCCAAGGACUUGACACUUAUGAAGUCCCUCAGCUCUUAAAAACUAGGGCUUUGGUGAGAUAAAAUUCAUAUGCAGAGCUUGUGCUUCCUCUGUGUCCAUAAACAUAUCUGCUCCUAUUAAAAUCAAAGGAAAGCCUCCUGUUGGUUUCAGUGAGAGCAGACUGGAGCUUUGUAAUACCUGGAAGCAUCCCAUGCAACGCUGAUCUUCCACGUGCAAACAACUGCUGCUCCUUCAUAGGGAUGUGGAUAAUAUAUUCUUCUUUCUGACAGAACAAUAGGUGAGCAACAGCAGGC